CUGAAUUGGGAUCCUUAGCAAUAACAGCUCUCUUAAAAUAACGAUCAAUGGAGGGAGGGUUAAAAUAACCCAACAACACCACUUCAAUUCUGAUUUUCCUCUUCUUAGAAAACUGUAGUGUAGUGGGUGGAACAAAAGUUUUUACUUGGAGAGCAUCAAGUAGUGCAAGAUUAGUAAAUUCAUUCUCAUACUUCACAGUAGCCAACGCAUCUUCAUCUCCAUGGAAGUAUCUAACCCAUAAAUGGUAUUUGCCCACCAUAUCAUGAAGCACGCAGAUAACAUGUUCACAUGUCAUAACCUUGGACUGCCCCUCAUCUAACUUUGAUGAUAAACUCUGAACCAAUGGGCUCUUUCACUGAAGGGGUAUCUUUCUUUGAAUAAAGUAUGGUAACUGUUGUUGUACUAUGGUCAGUGUGUCCCUUUCUAGCUGCAGCCUCAGCAACACUAAGCAUCUCCAUGUUGACAAUGCUACAUAAAAAUCAAACAGAAUACCACAUAAAAAUCAAACAUAACUAACAUUAAACAGAACACCAUGCAAAUUGCAAUAAUACCCUUUGGAUUAUUGAAUUAAAACUAGAUGUGAAUGCUAUUGCAACCAUCACUCGCUCCGCUCCCAAUAUGUCAGACCAACUGAUCGUUCAUAGCAACAGAUUGAGGUACAAAGUUAGAGCAAAGGGAAAGAAAGUAAGAUAAUGAUAAAUGACCACACAUCCCCUAUUGAGAAAUCGACGCCCAAACCUUAACACCAACUCUCUAGAAGUGGCACCAAAGUAGUGUGACACCACUUCUUCUGUGGACCUUAUACUCACACUACUCUGAGGAGACCUUCACACCGACACUAAUACGGGAGACCUACUCUCUACAAGGAAACUAGAAUCUUUUAUUCAUCUACUCACAACUUGUUACAACACUCACUCUUACACUUUUUAUGUGGCUACCCUACCAUGACACCACUACACUACAUGACAAUUUUACCAUCUAUUCACCUAUAGCUCACAUACCACUCUAUGCCAUGAUAC
Molecule: long non-coding RNA, 1019 nt
Filed under: Setaria viridis
Lineage: Eukaryota; Viridiplantae; Streptophyta; Magnoliopsida; Poales; Poaceae
Description: long non-coding RNA (SVIR_LNC002274)
Source: RNAcentral